RNAcentral lists this ribosomal RNA (497 nucleotides) under uncultured bacterium. RNAcentral's name for it is "partial 16S ribosomal RNA". It matches the Rfam family "Bacterial small subunit ribosomal RNA", at positions 28 to 507 of the family's 1533-position model. The record is from RNAcentral.
GAUGAACGCUGGCGGCGUGCCUAAUACAUGCAAGUCGAGCGAACAGACGAGGAGCUUGCUCCUCUGACGUUAGCGGCGGACGGGUGAGUAACACGUGGAUAACCUACCUAUAAGACUGGGAUAACUUCGGGAAACCGGAGCUAAUACCGGAUAACAUGUUGAGCCGCAUGGUUCAACAGUGAAAGACGGUCUUGCUGUCGCUUAUAGAUGGAUCCGCGCCGCAUUAGCUAGUUGGUAAGGUAACGGCUUACCAAGGCAACGAUGCGUAGCCGACCUGAGAGGGUGAUCGGCCACACUGGAACUGAGACACGGUCCAGACUCCUACGGGAGGCAGCAGUAGGGAAUCUUCCGCAAUGGGCGAAAGCCUGACGGAGCAACGCCGCGUGAGUGAAUAAGGUCUUCGGAUCGUAAAACUCUGUUAUUAGGGAAGAACAAAUGUGUAAGUAACUAUGCACGUCUUGACGGUACCUAAUCAGAAAGCCACGGCUAACUACGUG